GGGGCAUGCGGGAAAAAUCGUUAGAGGCGGACGGGUGAGUAACACGUGGGUAACCUGCCUGUAAGACUGGGAUAACUCCGGGAAACCGGAGCUAAUACCGGAUAGUUCCUUGAACCGCAUGGUUCAAGGAUGAAAGACGGUUUCGGCUGUCACUUACAGAUGGACCCGCGGCGCAUUAGCUAGUUGGUGGGGUAAUGGCUCACCAAGGCGACGAUGCGUAGCCGACCUGAGAGGGUGAUCGGCCACACUGGGACUGAGACACGGCCCAGACUCCUACGGGAGGCAGCAGUAGGGAAUCUUCCGCAAUGGACGAAAGUCUGACGGAGCAACGCCGCGUGAGUGAUGAAGGUUUUCGGAUCGUAAAGCUCUGUUGUUAGGGAAGAACAAGUGCGAGAGUAACUGCUCGCACCUUGACGGUACCUAACCAGAAAGCCACGGCUAACUACGUGCCAGCAGCCGCGGUAAUACGUAGGUGGCAAGCGUUGUCCGGAAUUAUUGGGCGUAAAGGGCUCGCAGGCGGUUUCUUAAGUCUGAUGUGAAAGCCCCCGGCUCAACCGGGGAGGGUCAUUGGAAACUGGGAAACUUGAGUGCAGAAGAGGAGAGUGGAAUUCCACGUGUAGCGGUGAAAUGCGUAGAGAUGUGGAGGAACACCAGUGGCGAAGGCGACUCUCUGGUCUGUAACUGACGCUGAGGAGCGAAAGCGUGGGGAGCGAACAGGAUUAGAUACCCUGGUAGUCCACGCCGUAAACGAUGAGUGCUAAGUGUUAGGGGGUUUCCGCCCCUUAGUGCUGCAGCUAACGCAUUAAGCACUCCGCCUGGGGAGUACGGUCGCAAGACUGAAACUCAAAGGAAUUGACGGGGGCCCGCACAAGCGGUGGAGCAUGUGGUUUAAUUCGAAGCAACGCGAAGAACCUUACCAGGUCUUGACAUCCUCUGACACCCUAGAGAUAGGGCUUUCCCUUCGGGACAGAGUGACAGGUGGUGCAUGGUGUCGUCAGCUCGUGUCGUGAGAAUGUUGGGUUAAGUCCCGCACGAGCGCAACCCUUGAUCUUAGUUGCCAGCAUUCAGUUGG
RNAcentral lists this ribosomal RNA (1072 nucleotides) under Bacillus sp. (in: firmicutes). Its description in RNAcentral is "bacterial SSU rRNA". It matches the Rfam family "Bacterial small subunit ribosomal RNA", at positions 82 to 1134 of the family's 1533-position model. The record is from RNAcentral. Lineage: Bacteria; Bacillati; Bacillota; Bacilli; Caryophanales; Bacillaceae.